CCUACGGGUGGCUGCAGUGGGGAAUAUUGGACAAUGGGGGCAACCCUGAUCCAGCCAUGCCGCGUGUGUGAAGAAGGCCCUCGGGUUGUAAAGCACUUUCAGUGAGGAAGAACGCCUGGUGGUUAAUACCCAUCAGGAAAGACAUCACUCACAGAAGAAGCACCGGCUAACUCCGUGCCAGCAGCCGCGGUAAUACGGAGGGUGCGAGCGUUAAUCGGAAUUACUGGGCGUAAAGCGCGCGUAGGUGGCUUGAUAAGCCGGUUGUGAAAGCCCCGGGCUCAACCUGGGAACGGCAUCCGGAACUGUCAAGCUAGAGUGCAGGCGAGGAAGGUAGAAUUCCCGGUGUAGCGGUGAAAUGCGUAGAGAUCGGGAGGAAUACCAGUGGCGAAGGCGGCCUUCUGGACUGACACUGACACUGAGGUGCGAAAGCGUGGGUAGCAAACAGGAUUAGAUACCCCAGUAGUC
This 465-nucleotide ribosomal RNA is filed under the name Vreelandella stevensii. Its description in RNAcentral is "partial 16S ribosomal RNA". It matches the Rfam family "Bacterial small subunit ribosomal RNA", at positions 338 to 795 of the family's 1533-position model. Lineage: Bacteria; Pseudomonadati; Pseudomonadota; Gammaproteobacteria; Oceanospirillales; Halomonadaceae. The record is from RNAcentral.